Molecule: long non-coding RNA, 170 nt
Organism: Sinocyclocheilus grahami
Lineage: Eukaryota; Metazoa; Chordata; Actinopteri; Cypriniformes; Cyprinidae
Exons: 2
Source: RefSeq, a predicted model, not a curated record
GGAAUGGCUAGCUUCAUGUAGGACCCCCAAUCCUGCAAGGCUUCUGAAGACCACCCUUUUGGAGGAAAAGGAAAACCUGCCUCACACCAACCUUUGAACCAGUUUGAUGUUCACAAAGCUGAAAGUUCUGGCAAGAUUUCAAGAAAAAUAAUUUAAAAAAGAGAAAGAAA